GGAUUGUUCACCCACCAAUAGGGAACGUGAGCUGGGUUUAGACCAUCGUGAGACAAGUUAGUUUUACCCUACUGAUGAUAGUCUCUCAAUAGUAAUUCAACCUUGUACGAAAGGAACCGUUGAUUCGCAUAACUAGUCAUCGCACUUGGUUGAAAAGCUAGAGGGUGAAGCUACCAUGCACUAGAUUAUGACUGAAGGCCUAUAAGUCAAAAUCUGGGCUCGAAGCGACACAUGAGCCCAUUGUCCACUUGUCAACCCGCAGUAGGGGUUAUUUGGCCCUCAAAGGCAUAUGUCGUUGGUGAAGCCUGCGCGGCAGAUGAGCUAUGCAGGCCACCUUGAAGCACAAUUCCUAUCCGAGCAAUGGGUAGAAUCCUUUGCAAAUGACUUAAAUACACGACGGGGUAUUGUAAGUGGCAAAGUGGCCUUCCUGCCACGAUUUACUAAGAUUCUGCCCAGCGUCGCUCCGAUUCGUCCCUCCC
RNAcentral lists this ribosomal RNA (479 nucleotides) under Camellia sinensis. RNAcentral describes it as "eukaryotic LSU rRNA". It matches the Rfam family "Eukaryotic large subunit ribosomal RNA", at positions 2926 to 3401 of the family's 3401-position model. The record is from RNAcentral. Lineage: Eukaryota; Viridiplantae; Streptophyta; Magnoliopsida; Ericales; Theaceae.